AUUGAACGCUGGCGGCAGGCCUAACACAUGCAAGUCGAACGAGUGGCGGACGGGUGAGUAAUGUCUGGGAAACUGCCCGAUGGAGGGGGAUAACUACUGGAAACGGUAGCUAAUACCGCAUACCAUCGGAUGUGCCCAGAUGGGAUUAGAUAGUGGGGGGGGUAACGGCUCACCUAGGCGACGAUCCCUAGCUGGCCUGAGAGGCUGACCAGCCACACUGGAACUGAGACACGGUCCAGACUCCUACGGGAGGCAGCAGUGGGGAAUAUUGCACAAUGGGCGCAAGCCUGAUGCAGCCAUGCCGCGUGUGUGAAGAAGGCCUUCGGGUUGUAAAGUACUGUCGGCGGGGAGGCGUUACCCAAAGAAGAAGCACCGGCUAACUCCGUGCCAGCAGCCGCGGUAAUUC
RNAcentral lists this ribosomal RNA (406 nucleotides) under uncultured bacterium. RNAcentral describes it as "partial 16S ribosomal RNA". It matches the Rfam family "Bacterial small subunit ribosomal RNA", at positions 29 to 526 of the family's 1533-position model. The record is from RNAcentral.